AGAUCCACUUGCAGGUUGCUGCUCCCAGCCAUGGCUUCGCGCUGCUGGCGCUGGUGGGGCUGGUCGGCGUGGCCUCGGACCCGGCUGCCUCCCGCCGGGAGCACCCCGAGCUUCUGCCACCAUUUCUCCACACAGGAGAAGACCCCCCAGAUCUGUGUGGUGGGCAGUGGCCCAGCUGGCUUCUACACGGCCCAACACCUGCUAAAGCACCCCCAGGCCCACGUGGACAUCUACGAGAAACAGCCUGUGCCCUUUGGCCUGGUGCGCUUUGGUGUGGCGCCUGAUCACCCCGAGGUGAAGGUGGGUGUCUCUGGGCCUGGAGGCUGGGGUUUGGAGACUUUGGUCAAGAUGAGGAGGGCAGGGAGGCUCCCUGGCUGGAUGACAGGACUUCAUGCCGUCUGUGCCCAUGCCACCCAGCUUCCCUCCUGGGGACACAGAGUGGUGAGGGUGGUGCAGACUUGGUCCCUGGAGCUGCCUUACCCUCUAACCCCUCCCAUUCCCGGGGGACCUGGCAGAAUGUCAUCAACACAUUUACCCAGACGGCCCAUUCUGGCCGCUGUGCCUUCUGGGGC
RNAcentral lists this long non-coding RNA (572 nucleotides) under Homo sapiens (human). RNAcentral describes it as "non-protein coding lnc-FADS6-1:1". Lineage: Eukaryota; Metazoa; Chordata; Mammalia; Primates; Hominidae. The record is from RNAcentral.